GGGUGAGUAACACGUGGGUAACCUGCCCAUCAGAAGGGGAUAACACUUGGAAACAGGUGCUAAUACCGUAUAACAAUCGAAACCGCAUGGUUUCGGUUUGAAAGGCGCUUUUGCGUCACUGAUGGAUGGACCCGCGGUGCAUUAGCUAGUUGGUGAGGUAACGGCUCACCAAGGCAACGAUGCAUAGCCAACCUGAGAGGGUGAUCGGCCACAUUGGGACUGAGACACGGCCCAAACUCCUACGGGAGGCAGCAGUAGGGAAUCUUCGGCAAUGGACGCAAGUCUGACCGAGCAACGCCGCGUGAGUGAAGAAGGUUUUCGGAUCGUAAAACUCUGUUGUUAGAGAAGAACAAGGAUGAGAGUAAAAUGUUCAUCCCUUGACGGUAUCUAACCAGAAAGCCACGGCUAACUACGUGCCACCAGCCGCGGUAAUACGUAGGUGGCAAGCGUUGUCCGGAUUUAUUGGGCGUAAAGCGAGCGCAGGCGGUUUCUUAAGUCUGAUGUG
This 505-nucleotide ribosomal RNA is filed under the name Enterococcus avium. RNAcentral's name for it is "bacterial SSU rRNA". It matches the Rfam family "Bacterial small subunit ribosomal RNA", at positions 104 to 596 of the family's 1533-position model. Lineage: Bacteria; Bacillati; Bacillota; Bacilli; Lactobacillales; Enterococcaceae. The record is from RNAcentral.